GUCGUGAGAUGUUGGGUUAAGUCCCGCAACGAGCGCAACCCUUGUCAUUAGUUGCUACAUUCAGUUGGGCACUCUAAUGAGACUGCCGGUGACAAACCGGAGGAAGGUGGGGAUGACGUCAAGUCCUCAUGGCCCUUAUGGGUAGGGCUUCACACGUAAUACAAUGGCGCGUACAGAGGGUUGCCAAGGGGUGACCUGGAGCCAAUCCCACUAAAGCGCGUCGUAGUCCGGAUUGCAGUCUGCAACUCGACUGCAUGAAGUCGGAAUCGCUAGUAAUCGCGGAUCAGCAUGUCGCGGUGAAUACGUUCCCGGGUCUUGUACACACCGCCCGUCACACCAUGGGAGUGGGUUUCACCAGAAGCCGGUCGCCUAACCGCAAGGAGGGCGCCGACCACGGUGAGAUUCAUGACUGGGGUGAAGUCGUAACAAGGUAGCCGUAUCGGAAGGUGCGGCUGGAUCACCUCCUUUCUAAGACAAGGCACCUCUCAGUGCCCACCAUCUAUCGGCUGUUCCCUUGAACAGCAGCUGCAAUAAAAAAGCGACCCAGGCGGGUCUGUAGCUCAGUUGGUUAGAGCACCGUCUUGAUAAGGCGGGGGUCGAUGGUUCGAAUCCAUCCAGACCCACCAUCUCAUCGCAUCACGGGGCCAUAGCUCAGCUGGGAGAGCGCCUGCUUUGCAAGCAGGAGGUCAUCGGUUCGAUCCCGAUUGGCUCCACCAGCAAACCCUCGAGGAAACAGCAUUCAGCCGCGCGUGCGCGCUUGAAUGAUGCUUCUUCGUUUCACCGAAGCGUCGAUCGGCUGCUCUUUAACAAUCUGGAUGAAGGUAGUUGUCUCGAUGAAAGUCGCGUUGUGAUGACGCGAUGAGUAGGCGGGACACUGGGUUAUGUAUUGCAUCGUGUCUCCAUGACCAACCAUCGUGGAGGCGCACAAGCGCGAGAGUUAUCCUGUAAUCGAGUGCGCGAGUGACUUUGACUCGCGUGGCCCUGGCUGGAUGGGGGCGGCAAGGUUAUAGGGUCAAGCGAAUAAGUGCAUGUGGUGGAUGCCUUGGCAACGAUAGGCGAUGAAGGACGUGACAGCCUGCGAUAAGCAGCGGGGAGCCGGCAAAUGGGCUUUGAUCCGCUGAUUU
RNAcentral lists this small RNA (1124 nucleotides) under uncultured beta proteobacterium. RNAcentral describes it as "bacterial SSU rRNA". The stretch from base 1 to 468 matches the Rfam family "Bacterial small subunit ribosomal RNA", at positions 1064 to 1533 of the family's 1533-position model. The record is from RNAcentral. Lineage: Bacteria; Pseudomonadati; Pseudomonadota; Betaproteobacteria.